GGCGUACCUGGAAGAAAAAGUCAAGAAAAUCCCACGUCUUUCUUGCAACACUGUCUUGUCAGUUUUCGCCAAUUGGUCAACACCCAAGAAACGUUGCUUCACAAUCAUAUCAGUGUCGGAAAAUAAACCUCGUGUAGCACAGAGAAUGUUUAACAGCCAUUAUCCACCAAUAUUCCAAGCCCUGGCUAAUUGUUUAUCCGCGAAACAAA
Nematostella vectensis (starlet sea anemone) is the source of this 209-nucleotide long non-coding RNA. RefSeq lists it as uncharacterized. The transcript is spliced from 2 exons. Lineage: Eukaryota; Metazoa; Cnidaria; Anthozoa; Actiniaria; Edwardsiidae. The record is from RefSeq and is a predicted model, not a curated record.